Long non-coding RNA from Neopsephotus bourkii (Bourke's parrot), 1106 nucleotides. RefSeq lists it as uncharacterized. The transcript is spliced from 8 exons. The record is from RefSeq and is a predicted model, not a curated record. NCBI's taxonomy places the organism in Eukaryota, Metazoa, Chordata, Aves, Psittaciformes, Psittacidae.
AGUCAUUAUGCCCUACUGCUGAGUCUGCAUAUGUGUGAGCAUCCUGCAUAAUCAUAUUAGAGCUGAAGUUGACUCUGAAAGCUUGUAUGAGACAAUCCCUUUCCUCCACCUACUCCUUGCCAAACCAUAAGGUUUUCUUAAGGAGCCAAUGUUUUUCUCCUCUUGGAGAUCUUCUAGAGAAAUGGUGCAGUACUUCAUGGAAAUCCCGGUCUUAGUUUGCACUUGACAGUCAGCCCCAGAAGCCAGCUGGGAAUGUGGAUACAUAAAGCUGCUGCUCAUCAACACAGACAAGUUAUGAUGAGCCUUCUCUGUUUGAAGAAGGAGAAUCAAAAUUUAUCUCCUGGUACAAUUCCACUUAAGUCACCAGAGAUACUGCAAGCUUGACUGUCUGGAAAUCUCUUCUUCCAGGUGUGCUGGGAAGUUCAUAGAGGAUCAAGUACAGAGAUGAACUACAAGAAAUGUUUGUGGAGACUGUUUUGUAAGAGGAGCCCAGGAGAGCCGGGCUUGGGCAGCUGAACACACCACUAGCAGAGGAGUGUAUUCACCUCUUUCUCAGUGGCUUGGAUUGCAAGAUUUCUGGGACAGGAACUUGAGUUUUCUGCCACCAAUCUCAGCAAGAUUCUGGGCUCUGAAAAUGUUACAGCUGUAGAAAACAUACUAAACCACUAAGGUCUUUCUGUAUUUUAGCACCUCAGACUAACCAGGAGCUAUUUUGACUUAGCUCUUCACAUCUUUUUCCACAGCUGAUAACCUCCCCAGCCAGCAUUUGCAUCUUCCAUGGAAUGAAGCCAGUAGCCUACAUGUUUGAAUCUUCAGCCCCGAGGAAAUAUUUCUCAAUGGCGAGGAAUCCUUUCUUUAAAGAGCUGCCUUCAAAAGCCCAGUGCUCAUGGGACUGCUGCACCUCCUUCUGCACCAUUCCUAAGGAGUUAGGUGGAGGGGCCUUCCAUAUGCAGCUUGACUGAAAACCACAGGGGACUGUCUGCAUUUCAGGGAAGAUUUUACCAUAUUCAGAAAGAUUUUAACCAUCUUGUCUUGGAUGAAGGCUUCUGAUAAUUGGACAGCCUUUCUUUGACAUCAGGAACCAAAACGUCUGUUUUCAAGGGUAA